CUGCGGCUGGCGCGGCGUCGCUCUAGCCAGUAAAUGACCUGCGACAUAACUAUUUGCAAAACAAAUGGGGAAGACCAAGAUAAAGAUAAGUUAUAUCACAGGAAAGCAAUUGAAAAUGCAAAAAUGAAGCAUCUGAAUGAAGGACUAAUAACACUGAAUUCAGCUUUUGUGAAUCUUAUCUGCAGAUAUGUACAGACUACAUCCUAAGAUUGACUUCUGCCUCAACAGAAAUACAUGAGCCAGUGCCUUAUUGGAAAUGAUUUGCGUGUUUUAAGAACUGGUGUAUAUAGAGAUUCGCUCUUUGGCUCAGGCUGG
This 315-nucleotide long non-coding RNA is filed under the name Pan troglodytes (chimpanzee). Its description in RNAcentral is "long non-coding RNA NONPTRT005926". The record is from RNAcentral. Lineage: Eukaryota; Metazoa; Chordata; Mammalia; Primates; Hominidae.